GAUGAACGCUGGCGGCGUGCCUAAUACAUGCAAGUCGAGCGAACAGACGAGGAGCUUGCUCCUCUGACGUUAGCGGCGGACGGGUGAGUAACACGUGGAUAACCUACCUAUAAGACUGGGAUAACUUCGGGAAACCGGAGCUAAUACCGGAUAAUAUAUUGAACCGCAUGGUUCAAUAGUGAAAGACGGUUUUGCUGUCACUUAUAGAUGGAUCCGCGCCGCAUUAGCUAGUUGGUAAGGUAACGGCUUACCAAGGCAACGAGGCGUACCCGACCUGAGAGGGUGAUAGGCCACACUGGAACUGAGACACGGUCCAGACUCCUACGGGAGGCAGCAGUAGGGAAUCUUCCGCAAUGGGCGAAAGCUUGACGGAGCAACGCCGAGUGAGUGAUGAAGGUCUUCGGAUCGUAAAACUCUGUUAUUAGGGAAGAACAAAUGUGUAAGUAACUAUGCACGUCUUGACGGUACCUAAUCAGAAAGCAACGGCUAACUACGUG
RNAcentral lists this ribosomal RNA (497 nucleotides) under uncultured bacterium. RNAcentral describes it as "partial 16S ribosomal RNA". It matches the Rfam family "Bacterial small subunit ribosomal RNA", at positions 28 to 507 of the family's 1533-position model. The record is from RNAcentral.